AAGAAGAUGUUGGUAUUACGUACAUGAGGCAGUUAGGCAAUGUCACAAUAAUUAGAAUAAUCAAUUCGCUUCAAAUACGUUAUAUGAUUAUCAAUAAGGAUAUUCGGUCAUGAUUAUCAAUACGGAGCUUUUGUCAUGAUUAUCAAUAAGGAGAUCCGGACAUGAUAGUCAAUAAGGAGAUCCGGACAUGAUAGUCAAUAAGGAGAUUCGGGAUGAUAUCAAUAAGGAGAUUAGGACAUGAUUGUCAAUAAGGAGAUUUGUUCAUGAUUGUCAAUAAGGAGAUUCGGUCCCGACUGUCAAUAAGGAGAUUCGGAAUGAUAAUCAAUAAUGACAUUUAGACAUAAUUGUCAAUAAGGAGAUUUGGACAUGAUUGUCAAUAAGGAGAUUCGGUCCCGAUUGUCAAUAAGGAGAUUCGGUCCCGACUGUCAAUUAGGAGAUUUGGAAUGAUAAUCAAUAAUGACAUUUAGACAUAAUGGUCAAUAAGGAGAUUUGGACAUGCUUGUCAAUAAGGAGAUUCGGUCCCGAUUGUCAAUAAGGAGAUUCGGGAUGAUUAUCAAUAAAGAGAUUUGGAUAUGAUUGAAAAUAUGGAGAUUUGGACAUGAUUGUCAUUAAAGAGAUUCGGUCCUGACUUUCAAUAAGGAGAUUCGGUCCCGACUGUCAAUAAGGACAUUCGGGAUAAUUAUCAAUAAUGACAUUUGGACAAGAUUGUCAAUAAGGAGGUCGGUCAUGAUUGUUAAUAAUUAAAUUCGGUUAUGGUUGUCAAUAAAGAGAUUCGACAUGAUUGUCAAUAAGGAAAUUCGGUCAUGUUUGUCAAUAGGGAAAUUCGGUCCGGAUUGGCAAUAAGAAGAUUCGAUCCCGAUUCUCAAUAAGGAAGAUAAAGAAAAUGUUGGUUUUACGUAUAUGAAUAUGUUAGACAGUGUGAAAAUAAGAAAAAAAAUCAAUACGCAUUAAAUAAGUUGAAUGAUUAUCAAUAAGGAGAUUCGGACAUGAUUGUUGAUAACACAGGGAUAAGGAAAUUUGGUCAUGAUUAUUAAUAAGGAGAUUUGGACAUGAUUGUGAAUAAUGAGGUCGGUCAUGAUUGUCAACUACGAAAUUCGGUCAUGAUUUACAAUAAAGAGAUUCGGACAUAAUUGUCAAUAAGGAAAUUCGGUCAUGGUUAUCAAUAAGGAGAUUUGGACAUUAUUGUCAAUAACGAGAUUAUGUCAUGAUUGUCAAUAAGGAGAUUCGGGAUGAUUAUCAAUAAGGACAUUUGGACAUGAUUGUCAAUAAGGAGAUUUGGACAUGAUUGUCAAUAAGGAGGUCGGCCAUGAGUGUCAAUAAGGAGAUUUGGGAUGAUUAUCAAUAAGGAGAUUACGACAUGAUUGUCAACAAGGAGAUUUGGACAUGAUUGUCACUAAGGAGAUUAUGUCUUGAUUGUCCAUAGGGAAAUUCGGUCCUGAUUGUCUAAAAGGAGAUUUGGAUAGAAUUGUCAAUAAGAAGAGUCGGUCAUGAUUGUCAAUAAGGAGAUUCAGGAUUAUUAUCAAUAAGGAGAUUUGAACAUGAUUGUCAAUAAGGAGGUCGGUCAUGAAUGUUUAUUAGGAAAUUCGGUCAUGAUUUUCAAUAAAGAGAUUCGGUCAUGGUUAUCUAUAAGGAGAUUUACGCAAGAUUGUCAAUAAGGAGAUUAGGUCCUGAUUGUCAAUAUGGAAAUUCGGUCCUUAGUGUCAAAAAGGAGAUUUUGAUAUGAUUGUCAAUAAAGAGAGUCGGUCCCGAUUUUCAAUAAGGAGAUUCGGUCCUGAUUGUCAAUAAGGAGAUUCGGAAUGAUUAUCAUUAAGGACAUUUGGACAUGAUUGUCAAUAAUGAGAAAAAAGUAAAAUCACAAAAAUACUGAACUCAGAGGAAAAUCAAUUUGGAAAGUCCAUAAUCACAUGGCAAAAUCAAAUAACAAAACGCAUCAAAAACGAAUGGACAAGAACUGUCAUAUUCCUGACUUGGUACAGGCAUUUUCAAAUGUAGAAAA
RNAcentral lists this long non-coding RNA (1996 nucleotides) under Mytilus galloprovincialis (Mediterranean mussel). The record is from RNAcentral. Lineage: Eukaryota; Metazoa; Mollusca; Bivalvia; Mytilida; Mytilidae.